UAACCAUCGCUCAGAGGUUCGCCUCGAAAGCGGAUUUGGACGUUGCCGGCGAAAGUCGGCUCGUCUCGAAAUGCAUUAGCAGAGUGUCGUAGGCACGGCGUUGAUAACCUCCACGUCGGCGUCGAAGGCUCCUCUGCCUCCAAUCGUCUUCGGACAAUCACAUCCA
This 166-nucleotide unclassified non-coding RNA is filed under the name uncultured Auriculariales. Its description in RNAcentral is "sequence contains ITS2". The record is from RNAcentral. Lineage: Eukaryota; Fungi; Basidiomycota; Agaricomycetes; Auriculariales.